Molecule: non-coding RNA, 76 nt
Organism: Caenorhabditis tropicalis
Lineage: Eukaryota; Metazoa; Nematoda; Chromadorea; Rhabditida; Rhabditidae
Source: Rfam
CUUCUACACGUACUUCGCCUCUCCGCGGCGUAGAAGAGGCAACACUCUGGGCAACCAGAGUGGCUAAGAAGUUUUU